Molecule: ribosomal RNA, 492 nt
Filed under: uncultured bacterium
Lineage: Bacteria
Description: partial 16S ribosomal RNA
Rfam family: Bacterial small subunit ribosomal RNA
Source: RNAcentral
AGUGAACGCUGGCGGUAGGCCUAACACAUGCAAGUCGAACGGCAGCACAGUAAGAGCUUGCUCUUACGGGUGGCGAGUGGCGGACGAGUGAGGAAUACAUCGAAAUCUACUUUUUCGUGGGGGAUAACGUAGGGAAACUUACGCUAAUACCGCAUACGACCUACGGGUGAAAGCAGGGGAUCUUCGGACCUUGCGCGAUUGAAUGAGCCGAUGUCGGAUUAGCUAGUUGGCGGGGUAAAGGCCCACCAAGGCGACGAUCCGUAGCUGGUCUGAGAGGAUGAUCAGCCACACUGGAACUGAGACACGGUCCAGACUCCUACGGGAGGCAGCAGUGGGGAAUAUUGGACAAUGGGCGCAAGCCUGAUCCAGCCAUACCGCGUGGGUGAAGAAGGCCUUCGGGUUGUAAAGCCCUUUUGUUGGGAAAGAAAAGCAGCAGGUUAAUACCCCGCUGUUCUGACGGUACCCAAAGAAUAAGCACCGGCUAACUUCGUG